Non-coding RNA from Brachypodium distachyon (stiff brome), 135 nucleotides. The record is from Rfam. NCBI's taxonomy places the organism in Eukaryota, Viridiplantae, Streptophyta, Magnoliopsida, Poales, Poaceae.
CGUGUUCUCCCUCCGUUCAAUAAAGGAUGUUUCUACUUUGACUAAAUUUGAAUGCAUCUAUACACUAAGUCAUGUGUAGAUACAUCCAAAUUUUGAUAAACUUGAGACAUCUUUUGUUGGACGGAGGAGUAUCUU